UCUGAACCAGUGUAGGAUGCUGUCAUGGUCAAAGCAUUUUCACCUUGACAGAAUGUGGCUAAUGACAAAGCAGAAUUAACAACUUGGUUGCUCUAGACCCUUGUUCAAGGGAGAGUAAACAGGACAUAUAUCAGGAUGACAUCCAAACAGGGUGGGUAUAGAAUGCCAAGUAUGUCAGCCCUGGAAAAUUAUAACAUUCUGCAGUGCCAACUCCCCUACCACUGUUAAAAGUGAGGCAGGUGCAAACUGUCCGUUUCCCCAAGGCUCUUUGGGUUAGUGUUUUUUUCUUAGUACAAAACUCAGAGGAACAAUGGAAUUAGACACAAUUGGCUCAACUGCUUUAUUUCACUUUUUAAAAGAAAGGCAAAUUCCAGGAACCAAAAGACUUUUGAUGGGUCUCUUUGACACGCACAAAAUAAAGCAGUAUGUGAGUUUAAGCCAAAAUAUAGUAAAUGUCUAGCCUUAACCCUGGUUUGACUUUUAAAUUCUCUCUUCUAAAGGCCAAUAGCCAUAAUAACCAUCUGGAAUCAGCCUCAUAUAUUGAUUUUCUCAGCUUUUCUCCAUCUUAUCAAGGUGAGAGAAUCACAAGUAGAAGAUUUUUCUUUAAAAAAAGCUGUCACCUAGGCUCCCCAAAACCAAUUAAAAUGGGGAAUGCUGAAAGAACUAAUAAAAGCCAGCAAAUAAUAGUUUAAUUCUUCUUGGCUUGAUGUUUCCAUGAAAGAGACAUUCCUAGUUUGAAGAAUUGAUAGGCUCUUUAACUGAAAUAUUAUUUCUUAGACACCCUAACAUUUUCUACCUACUCUCUAUGUACUUCACAUGUGUCAUUUAACCACAAUAUGAGAUAGGGGCUAAUAAUCAAUGUCCCCUAAUAGUGCUAUGAAUACAUUAAUAACUAAAUAUUAGAGAUACUGGAAAACAAAAUUAUUUUCAAAUUCUAAAGGAAAAACUCAAAAACUAUUAGAAUUAUUCAGAAACUUGUGAAGGUGGUUGGAUACAACAUAAAUAUGCCCAAAAUCAAUAGCUUUCUUCCAUAUUCAUAAUAAGGACUUAGAAGUUGUUAUGGGCAUAAAAUCUCAGAUGAAAAUUAUAAACGUUAUAAGGUAUAAAGCUAAUGAGACUUAUUGUAAAACCUUAUUGAACACAUUAUCUGAAGAAAUACUGAAUUCUUGAAGGGGAAGAGGUAAAAAAUAUUAGCCUCCCCAAAUUAACAUGUUAAUGUAAUAUUUCAGUUUAAAUUUCAACUGGGUGAAGUUUUGAAAUUGAAAUUAAUGAUCUUUCAUUGAGCUACAUCCCCAGCUCUUUAAAUUUUUUUAAUUUGGGUUGAGAUAGGGUCUCCCUAAAUUGCCAGGGCUGGCCUCCAAUUUGCAAUUCUCCUACUUCAGCCUCCCAAGUCUCUAGGAUUAUAGGUGUGUACUGGAGAAAUUACACUGCCUGGAGAAAUAAAUUAUCUUUAAAAUUCAAGUGAAAUAAGAAAAUAAAUAUAUUAAUUACUAAAAUAGAACUGAGUCCAGAAGUUGAUUCUAGUAUAUAACAAGUUAAUUUAUGACAUGACAUAUUUUGAUAGGAAAGAAUGUCACUUGGCAAAAUACUGCCACAACUAGCC
RNAcentral lists this long non-coding RNA (1603 nucleotides) under Marmota monax (woodchuck). The record is from RNAcentral. Lineage: Eukaryota; Metazoa; Chordata; Mammalia; Rodentia; Sciuridae.